This 397-nucleotide ribosomal RNA is filed under the name uncultured bacterium. Its description in RNAcentral is "partial 16S ribosomal RNA". It matches the Rfam family "Bacterial small subunit ribosomal RNA", at positions 523 to 918 of the family's 1533-position model. The record is from RNAcentral.
AUACGUAGGGGGCGAGCGUUGUCCGGAAUGAUUGGGCGUAAAGGGCGCGUAGGCGGCCCGGUAAGUCUGGAGUGAAAGUCCUGUUUUUAAGAUGGGAAUUGCUUUGGAUACUGUCGGGCUUGAGUGCAGGAGAGGUAAGUGGAAUUCCCAGUGUAGCGGUGAAAUGCGUAGAGAUUGGGAGGAACACCAGUGACGAAGGCGACUUACUGGACUGUAACUGACGCUGAGGCGCGAAAGUGUGGGGAGCAAACAGGAUGAGAUACCCUGGGAGUCCACACUGUAAACGAUGAAUGCUAGGUGUAGGGGGUAUCGACCCCUUCUGUGCCGCAGUCAACACAAUAAGGAUUCCGCCUGGGGAGUACGGCCGCAAGGUUGAAACUGAAAGGAAUUGACGGGG